Molecule: non-coding RNA, 78 nt
Organism: Potamilus streckersoni
Lineage: Eukaryota; Metazoa; Mollusca; Bivalvia; Unionida; Unionidae
Source: the annotation of a GenBank genome assembly
GACUGUUUUGGUGGCCUAAGUGGUUUAAGUGUCUGCCUAAGACACAGAAGGUUGCAGGUUCGAACCCUGGUCAAGUUA